UACAGAGGGUGCGAGCGUUAAUCGGAAUUACUGGGCGUAAAGCGUGCGUAGACGGUCAUGUAAGUCGGGUGUGAAAGCCCCGGGCUCAACCUGGGAAUUGCAUUCGAGACUGCGUAGCUAGGGUGCGGAAGAGGGAAGCGGAAUUUCCGGUGUAGCGGUGAAAUGCGUAGAUAUUGGAAGGAACAUCAGUGGCGAAAGCGGCUUCCUGGUCCAGCACCGACGUUCAGGCACGAAAGCGUGGGGAGCAAACAGG
RNAcentral lists this ribosomal RNA (253 nucleotides) under uncultured bacterium. RNAcentral describes it as "partial 16S ribosomal RNA". It matches the Rfam family "Bacterial small subunit ribosomal RNA", at positions 524 to 776 of the family's 1533-position model. The record is from RNAcentral.